Non-coding RNA from Pantherophis guttatus, 494 nucleotides. The record is from the annotation of a RefSeq genome assembly. NCBI's taxonomy places the organism in Eukaryota, Metazoa, Chordata, Lepidosauria, Squamata, Colubridae.
UGAAUGUUUUCCCAUCAGUAAGAAUCCUCCAAUCUUUUUAGCACGCAAUAAUGGCACUCUGGUUGAACCUCAUAUUCUUGUUAGUUGUCCUCAAAGGUGUCCAAUCUGAGGUCCAGUUGGUGGAGUCCGGAGGGGAUGUGAGAAGACCCGGGGAGUCCCUCCGUCUCUCCUGCCAAGCCUCUGGAUUCACCUUCAGCAGCUUCUGGAUGCACUGGGUGAGACAGGCUCCAGGGAAAGGCCUGGAAUGGGUGGCCUACAUACGUAUAGGCUCAUCUCCUUCCACUUACUACUCUGACAAAGUCAAGGGACGCUUCACCAUCUCCAGGGACGAUGCCAAAAGCCAGCUGUAUCUGCAAAUGAACAGCCUCAAACUGGAGGACACGGCUGUCUAUUACUGUGCGAGACACACAGUGGGAGGAACAACUUCUGAAGGCAAGCUGAUCGGUCAGUGUACAGAACUCUUAACAGUUGAAUCUCUCCUCAAUCCUUCUUGA